AUGGGGGGCGUGCCUAAUACAUGCAAGUCGAGCGAACGGAUAAGGAGCUUGCUCCUUUGAAGUUAGCGGCGGACGGGUGAGUAACACGUGGGUAACCUACCUAUAAGACUGGAAUAACUUCGGGAAACCGGAGCUAAUGCCGGAUAACAUAUAGAACCGCAUGGUUCUAUAGUGAAAGAUGGUUUUGCUAUCACUUAUAGAUGGACCCGCGCCGUAUUAGCUAGUUGGUAAGGUAAUGGCUUACCAAGGCGACGAUACGUAGCCGACCUGAGAGGGUGAUCGGCCACACUGGAACUGAGACACGGUCCAGACUCCUACGGGAGGCAGCAGUAGGGAAUCUUCCGCAAUGGGCGAAAGCCUGACGGAGCAACGCCGCGUGAGUGAUGAAGGUUUUCGGAUCGUAAAACUCUGUUAUUAGGGAAGAACAAAUGCGUAAGUAACUGUGCGCAUCUUGACGGUACCUAAUCAGAAAGCCACGGCUAACUACGUGCCAGCAGCCGCGGUAAUACGUAGGUGGCAAGCGUUAUCCGGAAUUAUUGGGCGUAAAGCGCGCGUAGGCGGUUUCUUAAGUCUGAUGUGAAAGCCCACGGCUCAACCGUGGAGGGUCAUUGGAAACUGGGAAACUUGAGUGCAGAAGAGGAAAGUGGAAUUCCAUGUGUAGCGGUGAAAUGCGCAGAGAUAUGGAGGAACACCAGUGGCGAAGGCGACUUUCUGGUCUGUAACUGACGCUGAUGUGCGAAAGCGUGGGGAUCAAACAGGAUUAGAUACCCUGGUAGUCCACGCCGUAAACGAUGAGUGCU
This 800-nucleotide ribosomal RNA is filed under the name Staphylococcus succinus. RNAcentral describes it as "bacterial SSU rRNA". It matches the Rfam family "Bacterial small subunit ribosomal RNA", at positions 36 to 817 of the family's 1533-position model. Lineage: Bacteria; Bacillati; Bacillota; Bacilli; Caryophanales; Staphylococcaceae. The record is from RNAcentral.